RNAcentral lists this ribosomal RNA (767 nucleotides) under uncultured bacterium. Its description in RNAcentral is "bacterial SSU rRNA". It matches the Rfam family "Bacterial small subunit ribosomal RNA", at positions 28 to 769 of the family's 1533-position model. The record is from RNAcentral.
GAUGAACGCUAGCGGCGUGCCUAAUGCAUGCAAGUCGAACGGUAGCUUGGGGACCUAGUCCUCAGGUGAGAGUGGCGGACGGGUGCGUAACACGUUGGUGACCUGCCCGGGAGAGGGGGAUAACGCGGCGAAAGCCGUGCUAAUACCCCGGAUGUCGUCCCUGUUAGAGAGGGAUGACUGAAGGCGGCUGAUGGGAAACCAUCAGCGAAUGUGCUCUAGGAGGGGCCUGCGGCCCAUCAGCUAGCUGGUAGGGUAACGGCCUACCAAGGCAAAGACGGGUAGGGGGCGUGAGAGCGCGACCCCCCACACUGGUACUGAAACACGGACCAGAUACCUGCGGGUAGCAGCAGCAAGGAAUAUUGCGCAAUGGACGAAAGUCUGACGCAGCAACGCCGCGUGGAGGACGAAGGUCUUCGGAUUGUAAACUCCUUUUCUGGGGGAAGAACAGGGCGACUUAGGUUGCCCCUUGACGGUACCCCAGGAAGAAGGCCCGGCUAACUACGUGCCAGCAGCCGCGGUAAAACGUAGGGGCCAAGCGUUAUCCGGAAUUACUGGGCGUAAAGCGCGUGCAGGCGGUUCUGAAAGUCGGACGUGAAAGCUCCUGGCCCAACUGGGAGAGGCCGUUCGAAACUAGAGGACUAGAGGAUGGUAGAGGCAAGUGGAAUUCCCGGUGUAGUGGUGAAAUGCGUAGAUAUCGGGAGGAACACCAGCGGCGAAGGCGGCUUGCUGGGCCAUCACUGACGCUCAGACGCGAAAGCCAGGGGAGA